RNAcentral lists this transfer RNA (74 nucleotides) under bacterium. RNAcentral describes it as "tRNA-Gly". It matches the Rfam family "tRNA". Rfam says of the family: Transfer RNA (tRNA) molecules are approximately 80 nucleotides in length. Their secondary structure includes four short double-helical elements and three loops (D, anti-codon, and T loops). The record is from RNAcentral.
GCGGCCAUAGUUUAGUGGUAAAACGUAUCGUUGCCAACGAUAAGUCGGGGUUUCGAUUACCCCUGGCCGCACAA